AUGCUUUUUUUACUGAUUCAUUGUGCUCCUCCAAGGGCUGUCUGGAUUCAGUCCUGAGAUCAAUUUUUUAUUAGUAACCAGAAGAGCAUUGAUGAGCUGAAUAUCUUUCUCUCAUUCUUUUCUUGUUCUAAUGUUUAUAUUGCAAUGUGACAGAAAUACAAUGAGUUCUGGUGAUAAAUCUUCCUCCCGACCUGUGAGGGCGCUAAAGAACGGGAGGAGAAGUAUCUGGAAGGGCUGGCCUGACAGUUCGUUUCCGGGACCGGGAAGUGGGUCAGCCUGGAAAGAAGCGAGACUCUGUUGUAAGACCGUAUUGAUUUGACAGGUAAACGAGGGGCAGCUGCAAGUAAUAAGGCAGCUGCAACCGUUUACCUAGAUAUCAUGCGGGAUUACAUGAUAUAGGGGCCAGGACUGUUAAAGCACAUCUCCGGAGCUGUCGAAACAGGGUCAGCACGAUCCGGAGCACCACUACACACCACACAACCUGUGUCUGCACCGAGCACCUGCACGUCUGCACUCACCCAGGACUGGUGACCGCGUCUUGUGUUUUGUUCGGGACUGUGCCCUGUUUUUUGUUAUCCCCGCGCUUUACACAUUGUUGUGUAUAGCCGGGGAUUUAUUAUUUUACGGUCACCAGACCUGGAUUAUAAUUAAAGCACCUUUUUCACUGGA
This is a long non-coding RNA of Acipenser ruthenus (sterlet), 669 nucleotides long. RefSeq lists it as uncharacterized. The transcript has 2 exons. The record is from RefSeq and is a predicted model, not a curated record. Lineage: Eukaryota; Metazoa; Chordata; Actinopteri; Acipenseriformes; Acipenseridae.